RNAcentral lists this ribosomal RNA (742 nucleotides) under uncultured bacterium. RNAcentral describes it as "bacterial SSU rRNA". It matches the Rfam family "Bacterial small subunit ribosomal RNA", at positions 8 to 796 of the family's 1533-position model. The record is from RNAcentral.
AGAGUUUGAUCAUGGCUCAGAACGAACGCUGGCGGCAUGCCUAACACAUGCAAGUCGAACGAGACCUUCGGGUCUAGUGGCGCACGGGUGCGUAACGCGUGGGAAUCUGCCCUUGGGUUCGGGAUAACAGUUGGAAACGACUGCUAAUACCGGAUGAUGACUUCGGUCCAAAGAUUUAUCGCCCAGGGAUGAGCCCGCGUAGGAUUAGCUAGUUGGUGAGGUAAAGGCUCACCAAGGCGACGAUCCUUAGCUGGUCUGAGAGGAUGAUCAGCCACACUGGGACUGAGACACGGCCCAGACUCCUACGGGAGGCAGCAGUGGGGAAUAUUGGACAAUGGGCGAAAGCCUGAUCCAGCAAUGCCGCGUGAGUGAUGAAGGCCUUAGGGUUGUAAAGCUCUUUUACCCGGGAUGAUAAUGACAGUACCGGGAGAAUAAGCCCCGGCUAACUCCGUGCCAGCAGCCGCGGUAAUACGGAGGGGGCUAGCGUUGUUCGGAAUUACUGGGCGUAAAGCGUACGUAGGCGGCUUUGUAAGUUAGAGGUGAAAGCCCAGAGCUCAACUCUGGAAUUGCCUUUAAGACUGCAUCGCUUGAAUCGUGGAGAGGUUAGUGGAAUUCCGAGUGUAGAGGUGAAAUUCGUAGAUAUUCGGAAGAACACCAGUGGCGAAGGCGACUAACUGGACACGUAUUGACGCUGAGGUACGAAAGCGUGGGGAGCAAACAGGAUUAGAUACCCNNGUAGUCC